RNAcentral lists this ribosomal RNA (253 nucleotides) under uncultured bacterium. Its description in RNAcentral is "partial 16S ribosomal RNA". It matches the Rfam family "Bacterial small subunit ribosomal RNA", at positions 524 to 776 of the family's 1533-position model. The record is from RNAcentral.
UACGUAGGGGGCAAGCGUUGUCCGGAAUCAUUGGGCGUAAAGAGCGUGUAGGCGGCCCGGUAAGUCCGCUGUGAAAGUCCAGGGCUCAACCCUGGGAUGCCGGUGGAUACUGUCGGGCUCGAGUCCGGAAGAGGAGUGUGGAAUUCCUGGUGUAGCGGUGAAAUGCGCAGAUAUCAGGAGGAACACCAAUGGCGAAGGCAGCACUCUGGGACGUGACUGACGCUGAGACACGAAGGCCAGGGGAGCAAACGGG